RNAcentral lists this ribosomal RNA (253 nucleotides) under uncultured bacterium. RNAcentral's name for it is "partial 16S ribosomal RNA". It matches the Rfam family "Bacterial small subunit ribosomal RNA", at positions 524 to 776 of the family's 1533-position model. The record is from RNAcentral.
UACAGAGGGUGCGAGCGUUGUCCGGAAUCACUGGGCGUAAAGGGCGCGUAGGUGGCGACCCAAGUCGAUGGUGAAAGCUCGCCGCUCAACGGCGAGUCGGCCACUGAUACUGGGUUGCUGGAGCACUGUAGAGGCAGAUGGAAUUCCGGGUGUAGCGGUGGAAUGCGUAGAGAUCCGGAAGAACACCGGUGGCGAAGGCGGUCUGCUGGGCAGUGGCUGACGCUGAGGCGCGACAGCGUGGGGAGCAAACAGG